This is an RNA transcript of Solanum pennellii, 2943 nucleotides long. It is a transcript of the gene named protein ANTI-SILENCING 1, with no coding region annotated. The record is from RefSeq and is a predicted model, not a curated record. Lineage: Eukaryota; Viridiplantae; Streptophyta; Magnoliopsida; Solanales; Solanaceae. The transcript has 13 exons.
CUAUUUAAAGUGGAGCAAUCUAACGCCCAUCUCCUUCGGCCCUGACUGUCUUUUCCCUCCAAUUGAUUGUCACGUCUGCGGCGGUUUUCCUAAGACUAGGGUAAAGGGAGGACGAUAUUAAACUCGACAGUGAAUGAGUUUACAUAUGCCCAGAGAUAAGAUAUCUUCGUCGGGAUUGCUCGAAAUUGAAGGUGUUUUUAGGGUUUCGGUUAAACAUUUUUCAAGCUGGGCAUCUUGGUGGAAGCAGUCAUCAUAGGAUCCUCGAGGGCUGAAUCCGUGUGGUAAAAGUAGAGUGGUCUGUGAGUGGAGACAGUUAUGACUUUGGUAGAAGUAGGUAAAGAAGAGUCUCUAGUGGGUCUAGAUAAGGAUGAGGAAGUUGAAUUUGUCUGGGGCAGAAAGAGAGGUAUUGGUGGUAAGAGAAAGGAGGUACAGUUUUAUGAAUCUUUUAUCUAUGAUGGUGUGGAGUAUACUUUAUAUGACUGUGUAUACAUGCACAAAGAAGGUGAACUUCCUUACAUUGGUAAGAUCAUAAAGAUAUGGGAAAAUCCAGACAAGUCUAGGAAGGUUAAGAUCCAGUGGUUUUUUCGGUCGACAGAGAUCUUGUAUCACCUGAAAGAUGUUAAGGUAGCUGAGAAUGAAGUAUUUCUUGCCUCUGGUGAAGGCACAGGAUUGGCCAAUGUUAAUCCUCUGGAAGCUAUUGCUGGCAGAUGUAAUGUUAUCUGCACUUCAGAGGACAACAGAAAUCCGCAGCCAUCAGAUGAAGAAGUUAAAUUGGCUGACUAUGUUUUCUACCGUGCUUUUGAUGUUGGAACUUGUGCAAUUUUGGAUAAGAUGAUUGACAAAGUUGGUGGGCUGGACGUCAAGUAUGUUUUUAACAGGAAAGAUAGUGAAAAGGCCAGUCAUGUCCUCAAAUUUGCUUCUGACAAGAAAGAUAACAAAGCUGCCAUGGAAUAUCGAGCUAAUGGGGAGUCCUCUGGGCUAAAACCACAGAAUCAUGCCAAAGUGAGUCAUUUACUUGGAAAAAGUGAUGUAGAUGGACCAAGUUCUCUUGUUAGACAGGACAUACAGAGAGAUACAAAUGUUUCAUCUGUUAAUCAGGAAACUGUUAAGGAAGUGAAUUAUGUCCCUGGUGAGAAAAACUCACAUGAUUUGGGAGUUGCAAAAGUUGCUGGUAAAUCAAGUCAUUUAGUGGGAAGAAAUGAUGUCGAUGCACAAAGUUCACCGAUUAGAGAGGAUGCCUUACAUGGAGAUGCAAAUGAUUCUCAAAAUGAGCAGCAAUCAACAAUGAAAGGAAAUGCUGCGCCGAUGCUGGCUGUUAACAGCAAAAUAGCCACUACAAUUGUUCACAACCAAAAUACUUCAAGUGAAGAAAAUGCACUCUACACGGUUAAGAAUGAUAAAAAAGUUAAUACACUCUCAAUAGAACUCUUAGUAGCUGGCGAAAGAGGAAAACCUUCGAAGGAUCUUGGCAUUUUGGACGAUAGGCCUUCAAAACGAAUAAAAGUAAAUGGUUCUGUGACACUAUCAGAGGACAAGGGUGGGGACAGUGUACAGAAGUUCACUGUUUGCACAAAUGACAAAGAGGUUAUGGGAACAGGUGCCACUCCUGAAGAAAGAAAGAAAUCUGGUGAUAGUAAGCUUUCUGGUGGACUGGACAAGAACAUGCAGAACAGAAACGAUGGUGCUGCCUUGGAUAUCAGGCCUCCAAAGAAGGCAAACAUAGACUCUGUUAAAGUAAAAGAGGAUAGAGAUAGAGGUAACAUGUCAAUUGGUAAGCUUGUUGACAAUAUAGGCAAGUUGCCUAAAUUAUCUGCUGGAGUAUCCCCCAAGGAAGUUGAGAGCAUGGGAGGCAAGAGCUUCAUAAUCACGCGGAGACCCAUUGCAGAGUCGAGCAAGUGGUUCGAGGCACCUCCUUGGGAGGAGGUGUUGCAAACAUCAAAUCUGGAAAGGGCCCUUAUCUUACUCGAAAAUUUGAAUCCUGGAUAUACAUCAGGAGAGGUGGAGGAUAUUAUCUGGCAUGCAUGUAGGGAAAACUGCACAGCCAAAAUGGUUCAGCGCACUGCUUUCUCUAGUCCGUACUCUGGUAGAGCAUUAGUUGCAUUCAAAACAAGAGAAGCAGCAGUAAGGGUCAGUAAAAAGCUGACUGAGGGAUGCUUAAUGGUGUCAAAUCAGAGGCCGCUUGUUGCUAGCUUUGUAACUCUUCCGAAAACGGAAGGAAACACUCCAUCAUUUGCUGGGCAUCUAUGUGUUGACAAACUAAGGCUACAAUCCCAGCGGGAAAUGAAAGAAGCAGUUUCUACUUCUCAUUGUUCUCAGCCCAACACCAUAGAGCAUGAAAUGGGCAUUGAGUGGCUCUUACUGCAAUCAAGAUCUGACAGUUGGUGGAAUCGGCUAUAUAAGCAACAAAAAGAGGAACUUAGGAAAAUAGCGUCAGAACUCAAGAGAAAAUGAGAAGCAAGCUGCAGUUUUGUACAUAGUGUACUUCUGUACAGAUUUCUGACUUCUUGGACCUGACUUCUGGUAAUGGUGUUCUUGCAAUUAGUUCAUUGGAGUCAUGCAAGUCUUUUGUUCGAUUGACACAUCUGGUGGUUCAGGAUAGAUGACUAAUAGACACUCACUCCUCCAAGCUCUUGGCAUUUUUGGAUGUACCAUAAUCCUUCCUACCUUCCUUGGUGACCUCAACCUCAUAGUUGGGGCAAUUGAUUAAUGUCAAAGUCACAAAGUUUAGCUUGCAGCAAUAUACAUAUUUCUAUCCGAAAUUUUGCUCAAUGAAUCACUCUGGCAUAAUCUUUUGUUCAACAUAUCUUUAAAUUAAAAAUAGAAUCUCUUAUCUUUGGUUCUUAAUUAGAAUCAUCAAAUGGAACUAAACAUGUUCCCAUUGAACGAGCAUCGGGAUCAUUUGUUUAUUGAUCAUCUUGGCAAAUGGUAUUAAGUUUGAACAUG